AGUCGAACGAGAGAGAAGGAGCUUGCUUCUUCGAUCGAGUGGCGAACGGGUGAGUAACGCGUGAGGAACCUGCCUCAAAGAGGGGGACAACAGUUGGAAACGACUGCUAAUACCGCAUAAGCCCACGGGUCGGCAUCGACCUGAGGGAAAAGGAGCAAUCCGCUUUGAGAUGGCCUCGCGUCCGAUUAGCUAGUUGGUGAGGUAAUGGCCCACCAAGGCGACGAUCGGUAGCCGGACUGAGAGGUUGAACGGCCACACUGGGACUGAGACACGGCCCAGACUCCUACGGGAGGCAGCAGUGGGGAAUAUUGCACAAUGGGGGAAACCCUGAUGCAGCGACGCCGCGUGGAGGAAGAAGGUCUUCGGAUUGUAAACUCCUGUUGUUGAGGAAGAUAAUGACGGUACUCAACAAGGAAGUGACGGCUAACUACGUGCCAGCAGCCGCGGUAAAACGUAGGUCACAAGCGUUGUCCGGAAUUACUGGGUGUAAAGGGAGCGCAGGCGGGAAGACAAGUUGGAAGUGAAAUCUAUGGGCUCAACCCAUAAACUGCUUUCAAAACUGUUUUUCUUGAGUAGUGCAGAGGUAGGCGGAAUUCCCGGUGUAGCGGUGGAAUGCGUAGAUAUCGGGAGGAACACCAGUGGCGAAGGCGGCCUACUGGGCACCAACUGACGCUGAGGCUCGAAAGUGUGGGUAGCAAACAGGAUUAGAUACCCUGGUAGUCCACACCGUAAACGAUGAUUACUAGGUGUUGGAGGAUUGACCCCUUCAGUGCCGCAGUUAACACAAUAAGUAAUCCACCUGGGG
This 805-nucleotide ribosomal RNA is filed under the name uncultured bacterium. RNAcentral's name for it is "bacterial SSU rRNA". It matches the Rfam family "Bacterial small subunit ribosomal RNA", at positions 60 to 878 of the family's 1533-position model. The record is from RNAcentral.